ACCAGGAUGGCCGAGUGGUUAAGGCGUUGGACUUAAGUUCAAAUGUACGGAUGUACGCGUGGGUUCGAACCCCACUCCUGGUA
Nematostella vectensis (starlet sea anemone) is the source of this 83-nucleotide non-coding RNA. The record is from Rfam. NCBI's taxonomy places the organism in Eukaryota, Metazoa, Cnidaria, Anthozoa, Actiniaria, Edwardsiidae.